Molecule: unclassified non-coding RNA, 1136 nt
Filed under: Zea mays
Lineage: Eukaryota; Viridiplantae; Streptophyta; Magnoliopsida; Poales; Poaceae
Description: misc RNA Zm00001eb420490
Source: RNAcentral
CCGGAGAUAAAACAAAGCCUUCACUCCCUCGAGAUCCCCAACUCCACUCUCCUCAUAUACUCUUCAGUCCUCCUCACUCCGCCAACUCGCCGCUCACUACACUUGCUAUAGCAAGCGAUCGAGCACAUACACGGCUUGGCUUUGCAUGUGCGCAGUGCGCUGCUACUACCACUACUCUCCGACACCGAUCGAUCCGUCGAGCGAUGGAGAGAGACCUGCAGGUGAUGCCGCCGUGGGGGAGGGAGGUAGCGGCGCCGUGCGGCGGCGGUGCAACGGAGAGCUCGCCGUCGUCGCGCAGCACCAGCGGGUGCCAGUCCGGCUGGACGGUCUACCUGGACCACUCCAACGGGAUGCGUUACCAUCCCUGCGACGACCCCGCCGCCGCCGCCGCCCAGAGGUGGGUGUCGGCGCUGCAGGCGGCGGACGACGACGGCGGCGACGUGGAGGACUCCAUGGCCUCCGACGCGUCCUCGGGCUCCCGGCCGCGCCCGCGCGACCAAGACGGCGAGCAGACGCGGCGAGACUUCGACUUGGAGCAGCAGGGCCCGCGAGGAUACAUCCGCCAGCACAGCCACUCGAGCAGUGUUCACUGUUGCAGUGCCAGUAGUGGCUCCGCCGGCGGCGGCGUCGGCGGAUUCGGUUCUUCGACGUGGUCCAGCUCCCGCGGCUCGCAGGGCAGGGCCAAGGGCCACGUCGCCAGGAGGAGGCGGGUCGUCGUCCACGGCGGCGGUGCGGAGACGACGACGCACCAGUACCGCGGCGAAAUCGUCGUCGUCCACGAGGAGGACGAACUCGACGACACGGCCAGCUCGUCUGCCGUUUUCAGCAGUCAUCAUCCUAUGGCCAUGGUGCACGUUAAUUAAUUUCUCCGGUUGAAAGCACCUCCACAGCUCGCACGAGUUGCGCAAUAUAUAGCUAGGCUAGCUAGGCUAUGCAUGUAACGUAGAUGGUGUGAGCUCCGCAUCUGUUCUCUACUCUAACACGGGCUAGUUUUCUUCUUCCUUACAUGCAUGUUCAGUACGUACAAGAAAUCUUUGACAGCGUACUACGUAGUUUUUUCUGGACUCUGAACAGGCGGCGGUAAGGCACAAAUCGGUUUCAUAUCCAUUCAGUAACUCGAUUGAUCCGGUAUUUAU